UUACGAUUUUAUUUCUUCGCAGAAGCGCGGGCGAUCGCUCGUCCGCCCACGGGUUCGCGUUCUCAAGAUAUGGAGGGGGAAGAAGGGAUGGAAGACGCGGCAGGCGACAGGCCUGCCGACCCGAAGGAUCGGGGUUCGACGGGCCCGGCGGCCACAGCUGCGCCUUCCACACUCUGUAAUGAUCCUUCCGCAGGUUCACCUACGGAAA
This 208-nucleotide unclassified non-coding RNA is filed under the name uncultured fungus. RNAcentral's name for it is "sequence contains ITS1". Lineage: Eukaryota; Fungi. The record is from RNAcentral.